RNAcentral lists this ribosomal RNA (228 nucleotides) under uncultured bacterium. RNAcentral's name for it is "partial 16S ribosomal RNA". It matches the Rfam family "Bacterial small subunit ribosomal RNA", at positions 568 to 795 of the family's 1533-position model. The record is from RNAcentral.
UGCGUAGGCGGAAUUUUAAGUCAGUGGUGAAAUCCUGCAGCUCAACUGUAGAACUGCCAUUGAUACUGAUAUUCUUGAAUUUAGUUGAGGUGGGCGGAACGUGUAAUGUAGCGGUGAAAUGCUUAGAUAUUACACAGAACACCGAUUGCGAAGGCAGCUCACUAAACUAAUAUUGACGCUGAGGCACGAAAGCGUGGGUAGCGAACAGGAUUAGAUACCCUGGUAGUC